RNAcentral lists this unclassified non-coding RNA (796 nucleotides) under Bradyrhizobium sp. TSA26. Its description in RNAcentral is "partial contains 16S ribosomal RNA, 16S-23S ribosomal RNA intergenic spacer, and 23S ribosomal RNA". The stretch from base 272 to 345 matches the Rfam family "tRNA". The record is from RNAcentral. Lineage: Bacteria; Pseudomonadati; Pseudomonadota; Alphaproteobacteria; Hyphomicrobiales; Nitrobacteraceae.
GGGUGAAGUCGUAACAAGGUAGCCGUAGGGGAACCUGCGGCUGGAUCACCUCCUUUCUAAGGUAGAGGACUUCACGAAGCUUGCUUUGUAUCGACCUCUCUUCAGAACAAAAGAGGCCAGUCAGGCCUCGACAUGCGGAACCCGCCGUCUUCGUUUCUCUUUCUCUUUCCGGGCGAAUGCGCUGGAAUGGUCGGACAUGGGUCCUGAUCGUUCGCGCAUUCUGGGCCAAGCCAGGCUUUGGCCGGUCGAUCCGUUCGGGUCGGUUUGCCUUGGGCCUGUAGCUCAGUUGGUUAGAGCGCGCGCUUGAUAAGCGUGAGGUCGGAGGUUCAAAUCCUCCCAGGCCCACCAGUCAUCGAGCGUUCGCGGGUUCGGGCCUUCCGGCCCGACGCCGACCGGCCGCCGCGCCUUGCGGCGCGUCACGUUACCCAAAAGGGGCCAUAGCUCAGUUGGGAGAGCGGUAGCUUUGCAAGCUUCAGGUCGUCGGUUCGAUCCCGUCUGGCUCCACCAAAACCCGGAAAGUCUUUGGUUUCGUCCGCGUCGGAAACGACGUGUGGCGCUGCUGUUUGUCAUUGUGAAGAGGGAAUGUAUUCGAGAGCUGCUCAUCCUGCAGCGUGCGAAUGUCCGACACCAUCGGCUUCGUUAAAUCGGGUACAUUCGGCAAGCAUAAAUGGUCUUUCUGAUCAUAUGCUCUGCGUUUUCGGUCCUUCGGGACUGUGCGCGGACAUCGAUCAUGAGAACGAUCAAGUGCCUUAAGAGCAUUCGGUGGAUGCCUUGGCGCUGAGAGGCGAUGAAGGAC